CCUUACUCCUCUCUCUCUCUCUCUCUCUCUCUCUCUCUCUACAUAUAUAUAUGUAUACAUCAGAUUUUGUUUGGGGCGUUGAAUUGGAAUAUGUGCUUGUACUGUACAAUUUGAUUCACUCUUUGGUCGCUGACUAGAAAAGGAGGGAAAUUGGUUUGUGUUUCGGAAUCGACUGAACUGGUUUCCAGCUUAGUCUUGGGGAGUCAGACCGAACGAGGAGCUGAGAGGGGUAGAGCGUCCAUCUCAAGUGCGUGAUUGCCCAAUCACACAUCGGUAGUCCAUUGGGGGAGGUUGUAGGAGAGACUGAUUCAUUUGAGGCUCCAAUGAGAGGUCUGCCUACCGGAGAUCUACCUGGAAUGCAUCAAUCUUACCAAUUGGAUGGAAGGAACUACCUACAGUGGGCUCAGUUGGUGAAGACCUUCCUAAAGGGAAGAGGAAACCUGAGUCACUUAACGACUCCAAGCCCUAAGGCAUUAGAUCCUUGAUUUCUAGCUUGGGAUAUAGAAGAUACUAUGAUCAUGUCAUGGCUGCGGAAUGCUAUGUAGCCGAAGGUUAGUAAAAAUUAUAUGUUUUUGUCCACUUCUGAAAACAUAUGGGAGAUAAUUAGGCGUGCUUACUCUAAAGUACAUGAUGCUUCAGUUAUUUGUGAAAUUAAGAUGAUAUUGAGUAGCACUAAGCAAGGGGCCCUAACAAUCAUAGAAUAUUACAACAAGAUGAAUGGGAAUUGGCUGAAACUUGACCACUACCAAGACAUUAAAAUGGUAUUUGGUAAAGAUGCAGCCACCCUCAAUUCUAUACUUGAAAGAGAUAGAACUGUGGAGUUCUUGGCUAGACUCAAUAUCAAGUAUGACCAAGUGAGGGUUCAAGUACUUGGAAGAGAAAAGCUUUCAUCCCUAAAUGAUGCCUUUUCUGUUGUUUGAAGUAAGGAGAAUAGGAGGAUAGCCAUGUUGGGGGAGACCACUUUUGAAGGAUUAGCCAUGCUAAUUAAUAAAGGAGAAGGAUUAAAGUUCAAAUCUCAAUAAGGAAAGACUAAUGGGCCAUCUAAGUCUCAAGGGAAAGAAGGUUUGUGGUACUCCUACUGUAAAAAACCUAAACAUACUCGAGAAACUUGCUUCAAGCUGCAUGGGAAGGAAGCUGUGCUACAAAAAUUAGGGGGUUUCAAAAUUUUACCCUCUAGGAAUCAAGUCUAUCUUUCCAACAAGCAAGAAGAGACUAUAGAAAAGGCUGGAUCUGUGGCUGGACCAGAGCUUAACCAGCUAAAUGCUGAUGAAAUCAACAGACUCAAGGUGUUCCUGAAAACCAUCCAAGAUGUAUCAUGCUCUAUUACCCAACAAGGUAACCUUCAAGGAAAUGGGCACGGGAAGAAUGAUUGGUGUUGCUGAGGAGAGGAAUGGGCCGUAUGUUCUAAAGAGGAAGAAUUUGAUGCCUAAAGGGAUUCAACCUAAGCUAGCCUGCACAUCUCAGUCUCCUACAACCCUUGCACACAUUUGGCUCCACCACUAUCAGCUGGGACACCAUCUUUUUCAUUUGCUAAAAAAUAUGUUUCUUGAUUUGUUCAAACAUUUAAAUCCUAGUACUUUGCAUUGUGAUGUAUUGAAAUUUCAAAGCAUCAUCAAGUCUCCUAUUCUCUUAGCAAUAAACUGUCUUCUCAUCCUUUUGCACUAAUUCAUUCUGAUGUUUGGGGGCUAUCUAGGAUUCCUAAUUGUUCUGGGGGCUAGAUGGUUCAUAUGUUUUAUAGAUGAUUGCACUAGGGUGACUUGGGUGUUUCUUCUCAAGGAUAAGGCUGCUAUUAGUACUGUUUUGCCCCCCUUUUAUACAAUGAUCUCGACUCAAUUUGGCAUUCCUAGUCAGAAAUUUUGGACUAAUAAUGCAAGAGAUUAUUUUAAUCAACACUUGUAUCAAUUUUUUCAGCAAAAAGGGGUUAUCCACGAGUCUUCCUGCAUCAACACUCCACAACAAAAUAGAGUGGCUGAGAGAAAGAUGAGACACCUCCUAAAUGUAACUAGAACUCUCCUCCAUCAUCAUCAAGUCCCUGAGAAUUUUUGGGGAGAAGCAGUCCUCAUUACACUAUCUCAUCAAUAGAGUGCCUUCUAAACUCCUUGGUCAUCAACCUAUCUAGUGUUUAUCAUCCCAUUUUCUUGACACAUCAGUCUCUACCUCUUAAAGUCUUUGGCUAUGUGGCCUUUGUUCACAUUCCUAAGCAAAGUAGGGAUAAGUUGGACCCUAGGACUCUUUGCUACAUCUUCCUUGGCUAUUCAUUUACCCAAAAAGGCUACAAAUGCUAUCAUUCCUCUACCAGAAAAUUCUUUGUUUCUAAAGAUGUGACCUUUGUUGAAUCACAACCCUUUUUUUUGGGCUCUUUUCACCUUGGUCGUUGGUCUCCAGGGGGAAAAUCAGUAGAUGGGUGACCAAGGGAGCUCCCUUUCUAGACUAGACUUAGUCCCUCUCGAAAUACCUACUGAAUCAGAACCUACUGGUUCUAAUUCUAUCUCUGAUCAUUUUGAUCAUCACUCACCUUUUCCCAGUUAUCAAAAUCUUUUUGAUCAAGCAGGUAAAAUAGAGGUUUCAUCCCCAGUAAGGUUCAAAGGCUCUCCAUUUGUGUACCAUAGAAGACAACAACCUAUUCUUCAGCCUCAACAAGGAUCUACAUCUGAUUCCUAGCCAGGUACUGAAAUGAUUCAACCCUCAAAUCCUUUUAACUUUAGCCCUAAUGAUUUGGAUAUUCUUAUUACCAUCAGAAAAGGGGUUAAAAGCUACACUUAGCACCCUCUAGCCAACUAUAUCUCCUAUCACAGGCUGUCCCAAAGGCAUAAACUUCCCUGGAUACUAUUGUCAUUCCUAAAUUGAUGGAUGAGGCUUUAAAGAAUUAGAAUUGGAAGCUAGCCAUGCAGGAGGAAAUGAGAGCAUUGGAGAAUAAUAACACAUGGGAUCUGGUGCAUAGGCCAAAGGGGGUGGUUUCAGUGGGCUGUAGAUGGAUUUUCAAUAUAAAAUAUAAUGCAAAUGGAUCUUUGGAAAGGUACAAGGCCCGAUUAGUGGCUAAGGGUUACACCCAAACAUAUGAGAUUGACUACUUAGAGACAUUUGCUCCACUGGCCAAGAUGACCACUAUGAGGAUCCUCUUAUCCCUAGUAGCUCACUAUGGAUGGCAUUUACAGUAACUAGAUGUGAAUAAUGAAUUCCUUCAUGGUGAUUUAGAAGAGGAGGUGUUCAUGGAACAUACAUCAAGUUUCGAGAAAAGAAGAGCAGAUGUAGUGUGUAAGCUGAAAAAUGCUCUCUAUGGCCUCAAGUAGUCACCAAGAGCUUGGUUUGAUAGGUUCUCCAAAGCUAUGAAGCUUAUGGGAUACUAGCAAAGUAGGGGGGACCACACUCUUUUUCAAGCACUCAUUGGAGGGAAAGGUGACAACAUUACUAGUCUACAUGGAUGACAUUACCAUAAUGGGAGGUGACAUGGAAGAAUAAAAGGUUCUAAGAAGCAAGCUGGCUCAGAACUUUGAAAUCAAAGAUCUAGGAUUACUUAAAUACUUAUUGGGAAUAGAAGUGGCCUACUCCAAAGCAGGUAUUUUCCUAUCCCAAUGCAAGUAUAUACUAGAUCUUUUAAAAGAAACAGGCUUGUUGGGAGGAAAAGGAGUGUGCACUCCAUUGGAACCUAAUACUAAAUUGGGAGGAGAUGCCAAUAGUCCUCUAGUGGACAAAGGGAGGUUACAAAGGCUGGUAGGUCAGUUAAUCUACUUGUCACACACCAAGCUAGAUAUUGUCUAUGUAGUGAGCUUAGUAAGCCAAUUUAUGUAUAGUUCUACCGAGGAUCAUAUGCAGGCUGUAAGAAUAAUAUUGUGAUACUUGAAAACAAUCCUGGUAAAGGAAUUCUGUUCAAAUCAGGUGGUAUUUUGGAUAUACAUGGCUAUACAGAUGCAGAUUAUACUGGAUCUUUCAUGGAUACAAGGUCUACUACUGAAUAUUGUGUGUUUCAGAUGGGAACUUGGUCUCUUGGCGAAGCAGAGUAUAGUGGCAAGGUCAAGUGUUGAAGCGGGCUAUGGCACUUGGUCUAUGUGAAUUAUUAUGGUUUGAGGAUUGUUCUAGAAGAUUUGAAGAUUGUUGUUAAUGAGCCAAUUAGGUUAUUUUCUAAUAACCAAUCAGUCAUAAGCAUUGUUCAUAAUCAUGUGCAGCAUAACAGGACUAAGCACAUAUUGAGAUUGACUGGCAUUUUAUAAAGGAAAAGCUUGAGAAAGGUAUAAUUCAAAUACUCUAUGUUCCAUCCGAAAAACAAGUGAUAGAUCUUCUAACAAAAGGAUUGGCUUCUAGAAGAUUCAAGCUAGGAAUGAUGGACAUUCAUUCACUAGUUUGAGAAGGAGUGUAGGCAUGUGAAAUUCAAGAAAGGCAAGAAAGUAGCUGUCCAAGGAAGCAGCUGUCCACGACUGUUGCUUCUAGAAUGAUAAGGUUUUAGAAAGUUUCUAAAUUCUGUUUUUGGAUAGUUUCCUAAUUCCAAAUUAGGAUACUUUCGUAAUGUGUAUUAUUGUAAUCUUUCCUAAGUUGUAAAUAUUUCAUCCUAUAACUAGGGCUGUAAAUGAAAUAUUUAAGUUCUUCCGUCCAAUCUUACAAUAUUGUC
Molecule: long non-coding RNA, 4603 nt
Organism: Diospyros lotus (date-plum)
Lineage: Eukaryota; Viridiplantae; Streptophyta; Magnoliopsida; Ericales; Ebenaceae
Exons: 3
Source: RefSeq, a predicted model, not a curated record